RNAcentral lists this ribosomal RNA (1113 nucleotides) under uncultured soil bacterium. RNAcentral's name for it is "bacterial SSU rRNA". It matches the Rfam family "Bacterial small subunit ribosomal RNA", at positions 8 to 1095 of the family's 1533-position model. The record is from RNAcentral.
AGAGUUUGAUCCUGGCUCAGGACGAACGCUGACGGUGUGCUUUAGACAUGCAAGUCGAACGAGAAAGCCCUUCGGGGUGAGUACAGUGGCGAACGGGUGAGUAACACGUGGGUAACCUGCCCCUCGCAGGGGGACAACCGGGGGAAACCCCGGCUAAUACCCCGUACGCUUGCCGGGCUGCAUGGCCCUGGCAAGGAAAGGUAGCUUCGGCCAUCCGGCGAGGGAUGGGCCCGCGGUGCAUUAGCUAGUUGGUGGGGUAAUGGCCUACCAAGGCGACGAUGCAUAGCUGGUCUGAGAGGAUGAUCAGCCACACUGGGACUGAGACACGGCCCAGACUCCUACGGGAGGCAGCAGUCGGGAAUCUUGCGCAAUGGGCGAAAGCCUGACGCAGCAACACCGUGUGGGCGACGAAGGCCUUCGGGUCGUAAAGCCCUGUUGUUGGGGACGAAGGGCGAAGGGUUAAUAGCCCCUAGCCUGACGGUACCCUUCGAGGAAGCCCCGGCUAACUACGUGCCAGCAGCCGCGGUAAUACGUAGGGGGCGAGCGUUGUCCGGAAUUAUUGGGCGUAAAGAGCGUGUAGGCGGUUCGGUAAGUCUGCCGUGAAAACCUGGGGCUCAACCCCGGGCGUGCGGUGGAUACUGCCGGGCUAGAGGGUGGUAGAGGCGAGUGGAAUUCCCGGUGUAGCGGUGAAAUGCGCAGAUAUCGGGAGGAACACCAGUAGCGAAGGCGGCUCGCUGGGCCAUUCCUGACGCUGAGACGCGAAAGCUAGGGGAGCGAACAGGAUUAGAUACCCUGGUAGUCCUAGCCGUAAACGAUGAACACUAGGUGUGGGGGGAGUCGAAUCUCCCUGUGCCGAGCCAACGCGUUAAGUGUUCCGCCUGGGGAGUACGGCCGCAAGGCUUAAACUCAAAAGAAUUUGACGGGGGUCCCGCACAAGCAGCAGAGCAUGUUCUUUUAUUUCGAUGCAACGCGAAGAACCUUACCUGGGCUUGACUUGGGUGCUUGCAAGCGCACGGAAACUUGUUGACCUUCGAAGGGUGCAACAACAGAAUGCUGCAUGGCUGUUCGUUCAGCUCGUUGUCGGUGAGAUGUUGGGUUAAGUCCCGCCAACGA